This 74-nucleotide transfer RNA is filed under the name Candidatus Kerfeldbacteria bacterium. RNAcentral describes it as "tRNA-Gln". It matches the Rfam family "tRNA". From Rfam's summary of the family: Transfer RNA (tRNA) molecules are approximately 80 nucleotides in length. Lineage: Bacteria; Candidatus Kerfeldiibacteriota. The record is from RNAcentral.
UCCGGGAUCGUCUAAUGGUAGGACGCCAGGCUCUGAACCUGGUAAUCUAGGUCCGAGUCCUAGUCCCGGAGCCA